RNAcentral lists this long non-coding RNA (1326 nucleotides) under Oryctolagus cuniculus (rabbit). RNAcentral's name for it is "lncRNA (ENSOCUG00000031867.1)". Lineage: Eukaryota; Metazoa; Chordata; Mammalia; Lagomorpha; Leporidae. The record is from RNAcentral.
AUGGGGAGGGGGAUGACACCAUUGCUCCCAGAGUCCCGAGUUUCACAUAAAAAAAACAAAAUAAAACAAAACAGAAUGCCGGCUUGCCCCUCGUUAACGAAUGGUAGCACAGGGGAGGAACAGGCGUGCUCCAGGCGCAGAUGGAGGAACACAGGUGUCCAUCAGACCUGUCCGCUCCGCACCGGCUUCCCCACACGGGUCUCCCAGGCUGCAGCCGCGACUCCAGGAGGCCUGAGCGUGGGGCCGCCGCGGAGGCUGCUCCCUGGGCAGGCGCGCCGCCGGCUCCCGCCGGCGGUGAGGUUACUUGCGGUCAAGGGCGCAGCCUGGCAGAGUCGCUCUGGCUCUCAGAGCCAGGCUGGCUGGCAGCAGUGCGCAGCCCGGAGCUGCCUGCCCCGCGCGUGUCCCGGCUCGCGCCCAGGGCUCCCGCGCCACACGUGGACUCUGGACCAAGGUCUCGGGGCCCCGGUCAAUAAAGAGAAGGAAAGGCGGGUAGAAAUGGUGGAGGAGAGCAAGAAGGUGCCUGAGUCCACUCACCAAGUAUCUACUGCGCUUCGGCUGAGGCUGGGCGCGCGCCUCGAGUCUGAGACACCGGUGCGCCCCCAGCAUCUCCAAAGCUUGGCUCAUUGUCCCCUCGAGGACGGUCACCUUGGGGCCCCUCUAGUCCUCCCCACCACCGCCGGACAGCUCCUGCCUCGUGCUGGAGACCACGCCAAACGCGUUCCGACCGGAACUCCUAACGCUCCCCGACAUCCCCCAAGGGCGGGACCGGUUACCACCCGCGCGAGUCGGACGGGGGCCUGGCCUCGGAGAAGCUGGAGCCUCGCCCGGAGUUUUGCAUCUCGUGAGAGGACCGGGACUCCGAGCAGGGUCUGGGCGACCCCGGAGCGCCGGUCACGGCCCACAGCCUCUCGGCUCGGCCGGGUGAUGGGGCAAACUGCGCCGCCGGCACCUGUUGGCGGCUCCGGCUGCGCGUACGAGAGGGAGCGGGCAGGACCGAGAAACGCGCAGGUGGGGCGCCGAGUGGCUUUGCACUUUGCGAGAGGCCCCCCCCCCCUUCUUGGGGAUCGCGGCCCUGGCGGGCGCAGGAUUUCAAAAAACAUCUACCUCGGGGCGGCUGGGGCAGCCGGAGGACCAGGGGUCCCCAAGAGCGCACUGCGGGGAAGCCGAGUGGCUGGAGUCGCGGCCGCCCGCGCAGCGGCGGGGGCCAAAGCGAAGCUGCGCGUGCCGGCGUCCACGCGGUGGGUGUGCGGUUCGUUCAUUCAAACUUUGGGGAGUCUCGGGUCUCACGUCAGCGAAGGUGUGACCAAUCAGAAUUCAGGGUGGUGA